CAAAGGCUUGGUCCUGACUUUUCUAUCAGCUGAGGCCAAAUUUACACAUGCAAGUCUCCGCACCCCUGUGAGAAUGCCCCACAGUUUUAUAUCCUAAAACAAGGAGCGGGUAUCAGGCUCAACAUAGUUUAGCCCAUAACACCUUGCUUUGCCACACCCUCAAGGGAACUCAGCAGUGAUAAACAUUAAGCCAUUAGCGCAAGCUUGACUUAGUUACAGCCUAAAGAGUCGGUAAAACUCGUGCCAGCCACCGCGGUUAUACGAGAGACUCAAGUUGAUAGCCAUCGGCGUAAAGAGUGAUUAGGGCCUUAUACUACUAAAGCCGAACGUCCUCAAGACUGUUAUACGUGUUCGAGGACAUGAAGAACAACUACAAAAGUGGCUUUAACAAACCUGAAUUCACGAAAGCUAUGGGACAAACUGGGAUUAGAUACCCCACUAUGCAUAGCCGUAAACAUUGAUAAAAAAUUACUAUUUUAUCCGCCAGGGGACUACAAGCAUUAGCUUAAAACCCAAAGGACUUGGCGGUGCUUUAGACCCACCUAGAGGAGCCUGUUCUAGAACCGAUAACCCCCGUUAAACCUCACCCUUUUUUGUUAACACCGCCUAUAUACCGCCGUCGUCAGCUUACCCCGUGAGGGCUAAAAAGUAAACGAAAUUGGCACUGCCUAAAACGCCAGGUCGAGGUGUAGCGCAUAAAAGGGGAAGAAAUGGGCUACAUUUCCUAACAUAGGAAACUACGGACCGCAUAAUGAAAUAAAUGCAUGAAGGAGGAUUUAGCAGUAAGUAGAAAGCAGAGUGUUCCACUGAAGCCGGCCCUGAAGCGCGCACACACCGCCCGUCACUCUCCCCAAGCCCUCUUAAUAAUGUUAAUAACCACCAAAAAUAGCAAAGGGGAGGCAAGUCGUAACAUGGUAAGUGUACCGGAAGGUGCACUUGGAAAAAC
This 946-nucleotide non-coding RNA is filed under the name Aplocheilus panchax (blue panchax). Its description in RNAcentral is "12S rRNA". It matches the Rfam family "Bacterial small subunit ribosomal RNA". The record is from RNAcentral. Lineage: Eukaryota; Metazoa; Chordata; Actinopteri; Cyprinodontiformes; Aplocheilidae.